RNAcentral lists this non-coding RNA (24 nucleotides) under Arabidopsis thaliana (thale cress). Lineage: Eukaryota; Viridiplantae; Streptophyta; Magnoliopsida; Brassicales; Brassicaceae. The record is from RNAcentral.
GGUUGGUGAUAGGCUGAUAGCUAG